Molecule: long non-coding RNA, 2865 nt
Filed under: Equus asinus (donkey)
Lineage: Eukaryota; Metazoa; Chordata; Mammalia; Perissodactyla; Equidae
Description: lncRNA (ENSEASG00005029855.1)
Source: RNAcentral
CGGGGAGGGGUGGGGAGGGAAGAGGGGAGGAGGCGGGCCCAGCGAGCCGCCGGAAGGGGCGGGCCCGGCGGCGUGACUGACAGCCCCCGAACAGGGGCCGGGGGCCGCGAGGCCCGGGUUCGGAAAAAGAGCUCCGAAGACGCGCGCUUAGGUUCGGCAGGGCUAAGGUCACCGAGAGUCCUCUCGGAGCUUUCUUUUCAUAUUUUGAAGUAACUUUUUUCCAGAUCCCCAACAUUUUCAGAGGAGCUUCAGAAACAUAAAAGCCAGUAAGUUCAUCAGCUUCUAAGGAAUCAGCUACAGAGAUGGCAGAACUGAAUGAUGCAUAAAUAAGUGGAUCUAAAAUGGAGAUUUAUCUGAGCAGGCAUUCUCACUGCUGAGAGUAAACUAAGGAAGUAUCCAGUGAAGAUGAGCCCUGAGUUAACAUCUGCUGCCAAUCCUCCUCUUUUUGCUGAGGAAGACUGGCCCUGAGCUAACAUCCGUGCCCAUCUUCCUCUACUUUAUAUGUGAGACGCCUGCCACAGCAUGGCUUGCCAAGCGGUCAUCUGCAUUUCCGUAUGAAUUUUAGAAUCAAGUUCUACAGAAAGACUUCUUGGGAUUUGGAUUGGUAUUCUAUUCAGUCUGUAGAUUAAUCUCGUGAGAACUGAUGUCUUAAUAGUAUAGAGUCUUCUGACCCAAUGAAAAAGAUAUAUCUCACCUUUUAUUUAGGUCUUCUUUAAUUUCUCUAAGUAAUGACUUUUAGUUUUUGGUAUGUAGGUCUUUCACAUCUUUUGUCAGAUUUACCCCUAAGUAUAGUGUAAUUCUGAUGAUAUUGUAAAUAAUAUUGUUUUUAAAUUCCUUUUGUUCAUUGCUAGUGCACAGAAAAGUAAUUGAUUUUUUAUGUCGAUCUUAUAUCCUGAUACCUUGUUGAAGCCACUUAUUAGUUCUAGUAGCUUCUUGGUCAAUUCUAGAUUUUCUCUGUAGAUGAUCAUGCCUACUGUGAAUAAAGACAGUUUUACUUCCACCUGUUCAAAAAGCAAAAGGCUUCCUCUCCUAACAUCACCCCACCCCACUCAGGUUUCAGAGAUAAGUCCUGUUUACAAUGCUUAGUUUUAGUUCCUCUGUCAAUCACAGUAUUUAUAUGGAUCUGUAGCCCAAAUUUAAAUGGUGUCUAUUGACACUCUACAAUAAAAGAUGAAAAAAUUAUACUAUUUUCCCUUCUUUCCUCCUGUUUUUCUCUCUCUGACUCCCAUUUUUCAGAUUACAUUAUAGUUUUACACUUUCUAGAUUUAUAACAAUUAUUUCCAUUUCUGAUCAUGUGGUGAGUUAGGUAAGCUGAAUAAACCUCCUCAGCAAACACCUAAACAUUCUGGAUAAAGCAUUUUAAAGCAGCUUAUUAAAUGCAUUCCCAAGCUGGCAAGAAAGUAAAGGAAAUUCCCAAAGACCUUGAGAGGAACAAAAGCCCAAAUCAAAAAAAGUAAACCAGUGCUGAAGAGAGAAAUCUACCAUUCCUUAAUAAGCUAGAAUUUCAAUUUUAAUGGUCUCUUGGAGACUGGAGACAAAGCCUUGGACCUCAUGAGGUGAAAAGUUAUAAUCUUAAACCCCUCCACAAAGCCAAGACCUGAAGGCCACAACCCUCAAUGAAAAUGUGAGUUAGGUAGAAGAAACUGAACAGUCGUAUAAGGGAAGGACAAAGAAGACAUGGGGGACUGGAGGUCUUGGAAAAAAGAGGGUCCUGUACAAGAUCCUUCCCAGGGUCAAUUAAAACCUCCUUCACUUUUAUUUAUGUAGUCAUCAUUUUCAUUGACUGUUGGUAAGUGGAGUUUCCUCUUAAUAUCUUUUGUACUCUGCCAUUCAUCUAAGUCUCUGAAUACGUUUUUCCUAGGGUUGUUGGAUAAUGAUGAAUUUAUGAACAGAAGAAGGAAUGGUAGGUCUCCGCACUCUCAAGCCUAGCUUUCAGCUAAUCCACAGUCAAUGUCUCUGGGUGUCCUGAGCUUAAGGUAGAUCAAAAUGAAUUUGAAUUCAGUUUUUAAAAUGUUUUUGUGUUUGCUAAAGGAAUUAGUAUGCCAUUGCUUGAUAUUUUCUUUUUUGCUAGAUUUAAAUCUGAGAUUAUGACACUGAGAAAAAUUUUGGAAAACUCUAUGUUUUCUUUAAAAAUUUUUAAAACCUCACUUUAUAUACUUUCCUCUGCAUGAAAAAAAGGAGAAUAAGUAACACUUUGAUAAAAUACAUUAGCAACAAUGAAUUUGUGUCAAAAACUAGGAAGUAAGGGUAUAGAAAUUAAAAUGCAAAACAAAAUUUUAAAACUAUAAUUUUUUUUUAAAAAAUCACCAAUCUUGUGCUCCUUUGAAAUGUCAUUCCUUUAUGUCCACAGUUUGUAAUCCUUUUAAUCUUACAACUCCCCACAAAUUGAUUUAUUCAUUUCAUAAAUUUUUCUCCACAGAAAAUAUGAAAAGGUUUUUUACUUCUAAUUUCCUAUAGUGCAGUAGGUUUUUUCCUUCAAGGGUGUGUGUAUUUUGUGAAUUCUACGUGGGUUUGAAAUGAACUUGGAGGCUAUAUAAUUAGGCUUUUUUUUCUUUUCCAGUUGUGAAGUAUGCAAAUAGAAAUUUUUAAAGGAAGAAAAGAGGUUAUCAUGUUCGUCAAACAUACUUUACUUCUCACAUUAAUGUGAUACUACUGUUAGACUACCCUAACUUUAGCUUUUCACUAAUGGCCUCCAAGAUUAUUUGAAGUCUGCUGCACUUCCUAUUAAGAAAUUGCAUACUAUCUAUGCAACUUUCUUGUGGUGAUCUAGCGUCACAAGAGUUUACUCAACUUACUUUGAAUUUGGGUUUUAGAACUAGCUUUGUUACAGUGUUAUUUUGAGGAAAUCACUUCAUCUCUCUGGGC